GGGAUCAUGGUAAGAGGACCAGAGCUGGGUGGAGGUGGCCGACCUUUUGUGACUGGGGCCUUCACGGUUUUCAGGAGCCCCUGAUGAGAGUGGAGCUGAAAAAAGAAGCAGGACUGAGGGAGCUGGCCGUGCGACUGGGCUUCGGGCCCUGUGCAGAGGAGCAGGCCUUCCUGAGCAGGAGGAAGCAGGUGGUGGCCGCGGCCUUGAGGCAGGCCCUGCAGCUGGACCUGCAGGAGGAUGAGGUUUGGGGGCUGGGCUGGACGGGGUGUCCCUGGGCUUGCUUGGGCCUAGCUCCUGGUGCUGAACACUGGAGCUGCUUGUCCCCGAUCUAGACCAGAGCUCGUAGCUGCCUGUCCCCACCCUGCUUCCUCCCACCUGGUGUUAGCAGGGACUUGGUACAGGCAGAGUGUUGCUUGAGGCACCUGGAGCCCACAUGGGAGCUACCUCAUAGGGCUGGCUUUCCUACUCUGUUUCUUGGUUCUCAGCCUAGCCUGUCUGAGGAGGGAGACAGAUAUCUGGUAUGAGGCCUGUUGGCCCAGGGUGCUUCAGGA
RNAcentral lists this long non-coding RNA (551 nucleotides) under Pan troglodytes (chimpanzee). RNAcentral describes it as "lncRNA (ENSPTRG00000054006.1)". Lineage: Eukaryota; Metazoa; Chordata; Mammalia; Primates; Hominidae. The record is from RNAcentral.